This 1594-nucleotide long non-coding RNA is filed under the name Marmota monax (woodchuck). Lineage: Eukaryota; Metazoa; Chordata; Mammalia; Rodentia; Sciuridae. The record is from RNAcentral.
AUCCAUUUAGCAAAUAUCCAUAGAGCAUCUACUAUACACUAGAUGUGGUGUUAGGUGCGGGGAUAUAGUAGUGAAUAAGACAAACUCUAUUUGCAUAAAGCCUAUAGUCCAGAAACUAGGCAAAUCACUCUGCAGAGAGCAGGGCACAGAGGCUUGCUGUGUAGGCUGGCCAGGGAGGAGUGAGUCGGGUCAACAUAUGGGAAAAGGAGUGAUAAGCCAAGGUAAGCAGGUAUAAAGGUGUACAAGAAUGAUCUUGGCGUGUUUGGAGCAAAGCGUCAUGUGAUUGGAACAGAGUUCAGGAGAGUGGCCAUGGGCAAGGGAAGAGAGAAUGGCAGGAGCCAAACCACAUGGGCCAGCAGAGGGAGUUCAUGUGCAUGUUACAAAGACCUCCCUGGCUUUUGGGUAGGGAAGGCUGAGGUGGGAUGGGACAUAGUGGCAAGACUGCUAGAAGGGCAAGGUGAUGACUUGACCUGGAGUGGGGAGCCAUAUUGGACUAGAUGUAGAAAGGUGAGCCAAAGAUAUUGCUAAAGUUUCCAGCUUAGGUCAGACUGCGUAACCAGCAUUAGAGCAGAUUAGGCACUUAAUAUGACUUUCCCACUGACAGCACUAGAAUUGUGGCUUCAGCCUGUACCUCUAAAAUACAUCCCUAGGUAGGAGGAAAGCAAGGAACACACAGGCUCCAAAACUAAAGUGAAGCCAGGACCUCUGGUAGGUGAGUGGGCAGCAAAGUUUUGCCCCCGAGGGGUUUGCUGACUCAAGCCAUCUGGAGCUUUCCACGGGCAGCUGCACUAGUCUAUGGCUGGCCCAAGAGGGCAAUCUAGCAGGAAUCUUCUGCAUAAAGUUGGGGCUCAAAAGGCCACACUCUCAGAAUGGGGGUGACUAAGGAAUAAACCUGUCAUGAGGAAGGGGACUUGCUUACUCUUAUGGUUUAGAUAUGAGGUGUACCUCCAAACUCCUGUGAGGCAAUGCAAGAGAGUUUGGAGGUGAAAUGAUUGGGCUACGAGAGGCUUAAUCUAAUCAGUGCAUUAAUCCACUUGAACAUAUUAACAGGAUGGUAACCGUAUGCAGGUAGGGUGUGGCUGGAGAAGGUAGGUCACUAGGGCUGUGCCUUUGGGGUGUAUGCUUUGUCCCUGGCAAGCAGAGCUUUCUCUGCUUCCUAAUUGUCAUGUCCUGAGCUUGCUCUCCUCCUCCACACCCUUCUGCCAUGAUGUGCUGCCUCACCUUGGGCCCAGAGCAAUGGAGUCAGCUGUCUAUGGACUGAGACCUCUGAGUCCCCCCAAAUGCUUCCCCUCCUCUAUGUUGCUCUUGUCAAUCUUUUAGUCAUAUCAUAAAAAAUUAAAAAUUAAAAAAAAACACUGAAUAAAACACUUUAAUCUUGGCACUGAGUGAAAGGAAAAUAUAUAUAUCACCUAAGGAUUUGUUAUAAAAAAAAAAAGGUCUCAAAUAAUUUAAAUCUGGCUUUGAAAAAAAAAAACUACAAAUAUUGAAUUUAAUGUAAAUGGUCUUGGGUUGGCAGUGUUCUUGAUUAACUGACAAAAUUAAAAGUAACUCCUUUUAUGUACCUCAACUUCAACCCAGACCUCAAAGAAACUCC